UACGUAGGGCGCAAGCGUUGUCCGGAAUUAUUGGGCGUAAAGAGCUCGUAGGCGGCUUGUCGCGUCGAUUGUGAAAGCCCGGGGCUUAACUCCGGGUCUGCAGUCGAUACGGGCAGGCUAGAGUGUGGUAGGGGAGAUCGGAAUUCCUGGUGUAGCGGUGAAAUGCGCAGAUAUCAGGAGGAACACCGGUGGCGAAGGCGGAUCUCUGGGCCAUAACUGACGCUGAGAAGCGAAAGCAUGGGGAGCGAACAGG
This 253-nucleotide ribosomal RNA is filed under the name uncultured bacterium. Its description in RNAcentral is "partial 16S ribosomal RNA". It matches the Rfam family "Bacterial small subunit ribosomal RNA", at positions 524 to 776 of the family's 1533-position model. The record is from RNAcentral.